This 1672-nucleotide long non-coding RNA is filed under the name Nicotiana tabacum (common tobacco). RNAcentral describes it as "long non-coding RNA (NTAB_LNC002836)". The record is from RNAcentral. Lineage: Eukaryota; Viridiplantae; Streptophyta; Magnoliopsida; Solanales; Solanaceae.
CAUGAAGAGACAUAACACAAUCUAUACCAUUUAGCACGAUCAAAUGCAUAAUAUAACUACGGAUGCGACCAAACAAGUUAUUCAUCAAGUUUUCCCAGAAUAAUUCCAAAUAAACAACAUCUAACUAUAAGAUACUUGAUAGAAGAUUGAUUUCCCAUCAAGUAAAACCAAAUACAGCUCUUAGAAGGGUAUUGUCUUUAUCCAGCAGAACAUAAUGCACCAGACAAACUCAGUAAAUAAAAAGGAUAAAACUAAGCUAAUGAACAAAACAAGUUGAAAUUGUGCUUGAAACUCCCAAUUUUCAUUUCAUACUUCAAACCAAACUUCACAUUAGAUAGGAUUCAGGAGCAGGUACCUGAUUAUAGCAAAACAAAACCAGAAAAAUCAAGAUUGAAGUCAGAAAGAAACAGCAGCAGCAGCAAACCAAACGAAUAGGAAAUAACAGCAGAAAUCAGCUCAAUGAUCAGUAAUAGAACAUUGAUCUAACAGCCCUCAACUCAUCUUUCAAUCUCAGAAUAAGCUAGAAAUACUUUGAAGGUUUGCAAUGGAGAGACUAGAUGCAGAAUUAGACCAAUUUUCUACCCAAAAAUACAGGAGUUUUUUUUCAAGUUCUUUUCUAAGCGCAGCCAUUUGCAAUUUUCAGAGUUUUUAUCUCUAAUUUUUUUCUGACUUGAAUCUCAAGUAAUGAUUCCUUUAUAGGCAAGCUUCUAGGGAAACCUAAAGGAAUCAGUUUUUGCAAUUAAAACCUUUUGGAAUUCUCAUAUUUGCUUAGACCCCUUAUUGCAAAAAUCACACUUUCAAAAUAACCCCAAUCCCAGCUUCCUAGAAGCUUCUCUAGUUUGUUACUGAGAUUCCCUUACCUUAGAUUUCCUAAUUUACCCCUUUAAGCCUCGUUAAUUACCCUUAGGAAAUUCAUGGGUCAAUUUGACCCAAAGACUCAAACCAGCCUGAUUUUAACAAGACCUAGGCUAAUACCUUUUCUUUGGGCCCAGGUCUAAAUCAGAAAUUCAGAAGAAACAAGAAGGCAGAAAAAGGGCAAUUCGGAUUUCAAUCAAACCUCAUGAACCAAAUGCUCUCAAACAGCCCAAAACUAAAGAGAACAAUCAAACAAACUAACCUAACGAAUUCAAACAAAACUGAAGAAGCUAAUAACUAACAUUAAUUCUAACUUAAAAGAAACAAAUGCAGAGAUAAAUUUUGAGAACACAGAAAAAAAGAAGAAGAAUAGAAGAAAAUAAGAAAAACGGGCCAGGUGAAAAUACUAGAAAAUACUAGAAAAUACCUAUCAGGCCAGGUGGAAAUGAGUCUUAAACUAAUCUUCAAAGAAAUUUUGAUUUUUUGUUGAGAUAGACCUUAGUCGAUGCGUUCUCGACUGAAAACACACGACUAAAGUCGAAUCCAACCUCAAAUCUUUUUAAAACCUCGCCAAUUUGAUUUUUGGGAUUUUAGGGUUCAGGCUUUGUUCUAAUAUUCGAUGCGUUCUGUGAGGAUUAGAGGGAAAAGAAGUGAAGAUUUGGAAUGGGGAAAUGAAGAGGAGUUUGGGGUGUUGAUUUGAGGUCAUUUGGCGGUGGCGCCGCCAGGCAUAUACGGUGGGAGAAAGGGUGGCGAAUUAGGGUUCUUGAGGGGUAUGGUCUCUGAGGAUGGGGGGUUGAGAGAGAUGAGUAAAGGGAGU